GGGGGCGUUCCGGUUUCGACGGGAAUGCCGGGAUUUAAGGUCGCGCGCCGUGGAGGUUACAAGCCACGUAAAUCCUUGUGACGUAUGAUAAUCGCCAACGAUUAUCGCUACGCUGUCGCCGCCUAACUAAGCGGCUAAGCCGUUCUGCCGUUUGCCUCCCGCAAAACGGACAGGGCGCAAUAUCGCGGGAUAGCCGAAGGGAGUGGCCGACCGGCCCAGAAGCGAAACAAAGGUUGGCUGGCGCCGUCAACGCCCGUUUCCGGGCAAACUGACGGGGCGAGACCUUAAAGCGGAAACUACGCGCGUAGAAGCCUUAGGUCAGGAUUUUCGGACAGGGGUUCGACUCCCCUCGCCUCCACCA
This 361-nucleotide transfer-messenger RNA is filed under the name Nitrospinota. RNAcentral describes it as "JACQXA01 sp016208975 Standard tmRNA". It matches the Rfam family "transfer-messenger RNA". Rfam says of the family: Bacterial tmRNA, also known as 10Sa RNA or SsrA, is named for its dual tRNA and mRNA-like properties. Its role is to liberate the mRNA from a stalled ribosome. RNAcentral also lists the same sequence under 1 other name. Lineage: Bacteria; Pseudomonadati. The record is from RNAcentral.